GCCCCGAUAGCUUAAGCUUAAAGCACUGGUCUUGUAAACCAAAGAUGGGGCGUAAGACCCCCUCAGGGCC
Molecule: transfer RNA, 70 nt
Filed under: Telmatobufo australis
Lineage: Eukaryota; Metazoa; Chordata; Amphibia; Anura; Calyptocephalellidae
Description: tRNA-Thr
Rfam family: tRNA
About the family: Transfer RNA (tRNA) molecules are approximately 80 nucleotides in length.
Source: RNAcentral